GGACCUAAAUCAUGGGAGGAUGUGUCAACCGAGGACCUUAGAAAAUGGCAGGAGGAAGUACUUGAGUGUAACAGAGGAAGUGAAAGGAAUGCAGAAAUGUCAAAGCAACAUAACAGUGAUUUUGAGGAUGGACAUUCAACGGGACAUCAGGAAUCUCCUGAGACCUCUUGUGUGAAUACAUCUGAUACAGGUG
This is a long non-coding RNA of Columba livia (rock pigeon), 193 nucleotides long. RefSeq lists it as uncharacterized. The transcript has 4 exons. Lineage: Eukaryota; Metazoa; Chordata; Aves; Columbiformes; Columbidae. The record is from RefSeq and is a predicted model, not a curated record.